GGGCCUGUAGUUUAAUGGUAAAACGUCGCAUUCGCAUUGCGAAAAGUGUGGGUUCGAUUCCCACCGGGUCCA
RNAcentral lists this transfer RNA (72 nucleotides) under Candidatus Nealsonbacteria bacterium CG_4_9_14_3_um_filter_37_13. RNAcentral describes it as "tRNA-Ala". It matches the Rfam family "tRNA". From Rfam's summary of the family: Transfer RNA (tRNA) molecules are approximately 80 nucleotides in length. Their secondary structure includes four short double-helical elements and three loops (D, anti-codon, and T loops). Further hydrogen bonds mediate the characteristic L-shaped molecular structure. tRNAs have two regions of fundamental functional importance: the anti-codon, which is responsible for specific mRNA codon recognition, and the 3' end, to which the tRNAs corresponding amino acid is attached (by aminoacyl-tRNA synthetases). tRNAs cope with the degeneracy of the genetic code in two manners: having more than one tRNA (with a specific anti-codon) for a particular amino acid; and 'wobble' base-pairing, i.e. permitting non-standard base-pairing at the 3rd anti-codon position. RNAcentral also lists the same sequence under 1 other name. Lineage: Bacteria; Candidatus Nealsoniibacteriota. The record is from RNAcentral.